GUGAGCCGGCCCCUAAGCCGAGGCCGAAAGGCGUAGGCGAUGGGAACCAGGUUAAUAGUCCUGGGCCUGCUGGGAUGUGACGGAUGGCGCUUGGUCGUUCCCGCUUAUCGGAUUGCGGGGGCGGCGGGCUCCGUUCCAGGAAAUAGCCCCAGCUUCAGACCGUACCCUAAACCGACACAGGUGGACUGGUAGAGGAUACCAAGGCGCUUGAGAGAACUGCGUUGAAGGAACUCGGCAAAAUACUCCCGUAAGUUCGCGAGAAGGGAGCCCUUGCCUUGGGCAACCAGGGUGAGGGGGCACAGAAAUGAGGGUGGCGACUGUUUACUAAAAACACAGGGCUCUGCGAAGCCGCUAAGGCGACGUAUAGGGUCUGACGCCUGCCCGGUGCCGGAAGGUUAAGAGGAGGGGUUCACGCCCUGAAUUGAAGCCCCGGUAAACGGCGGCCGUAACAAUAACGGUCCUAAGGUAGCGAAAUUCCUUGUCGGGUAAGUUCCGACCUGCACGAAUGGCGUAACGACUGCCCUACUGUCUCCAACGCAGACUCAGCGAAAUUGAACUCUCCGUGAAGAUGCGGAGUUCCCGCGGUCAGACGGAAAGACCCCGUGAACCUUUACUACAGCUUCGCAGUGGCGCCAGGAAUGUCUUGUGUAGGAUAGGUGGGAGGCGUGGAAGCGGCGACGCCAGUCGUCGUGGAGCCAGCCUUGAAAUACCACCCUUGACCUUCUUGGCGUCUAACCGCGGCCCGUGAACCCGGGCCCGGGACCCUGCGUGGCGGGUAGUUUGACUGGGGCGGUCGCCUCCCAAAGAGUAACGGAGGCGCGCGAUGGUAGGCUCAGGCCGGUCGGAAAUCGGCUGUUGAGUGCAAUGGCACAAGCCUGCCUGACUGCGACACCGACGGGUGGAGCAGAGACGAAAGUCGGUCAUAGUGAUCCGGUGGUCCCGAGUGGAAGGGCCAUCGCUCAACGGAUAAAAGGUACUCCGGGGAUAACAGGCUGAUACCCCCCAAGAGUCCACAUCGACGGGGGUGUUUGGCACCUCGAUGUCGGCUCAUCACAUCCUGGGGCUGAAGCCGGUCCCAAGGGUAUGGCUGUUCGCCAUUUAAAGUGGUACGCGAGCUGGGUUUAGAACGUCGUGAGACAGUUCGGUCCCUAUCUGCCGUGGGUGUACGAGACUUGAGAGGCGCUGUCCCUAGUACGAGAGGACCGGGAUGGACGCACCUCUGGUGGACCGGUUGUCGCGCCAGCGGCACAGCCGGGUAGCUAUGUGCGGACGG
This 1273-nucleotide ribosomal RNA is filed under the name uncultured Micromonas. RNAcentral describes it as "partial Bacterial large subunit ribosomal RNA". It matches the Rfam family "Bacterial large subunit ribosomal RNA", at positions 1379 to 2762 of the family's 2925-position model. Lineage: Eukaryota; Viridiplantae; Chlorophyta; Mamiellophyceae; Mamiellales. The record is from RNAcentral.